This 72-nucleotide transfer RNA is filed under the name Cryptomonas sp. RNAcentral's name for it is "tRNA-Gln". It matches the Rfam family "tRNA". Rfam says of the family: Transfer RNA (tRNA) molecules are approximately 80 nucleotides in length. Their secondary structure includes four short double-helical elements and three loops (D, anti-codon, and T loops). Lineage: Eukaryota; Cryptophyceae; Cryptomonadales; Cryptomonadaceae. The record is from RNAcentral.
GGUUUUAUGGUGUAAUGGGCAGCACAUUGGACUCUGAAUCCACUGAUGCGAGUUCGAGUCUCGCUAAGACCU